GAGUUUGAUCAUGGCUCAGAUUGAACGCUGGCGGCAGGCCUAACACAUGCAAGUCGGGCGGUAGAGAGAAGCUUGCUUCUCUUGAGAGCGGCGGACGGGUGAGUAAUGCCUAGGAAUCUGCCUGGUAGUGGGGGAUAAACGCUCGGAAACGGACGCUAAUACCGCAUACGUCCUACGGGAGAAAGCAGGGGACCUUCGGGCCUUGCGCUAUCAGAUGAGCCUAGGUCGGAUUAGCUAGUUGGUGAGGUAAUGGCUCACCAAGGCGACGAUCCGUAACUGGUCUGAGAGGAUGAUCAGUCACACUGGAACUGAGACACGGUCCAGACUCCUACGGGAGGCAGCAGUGGGGAAUAUUGGACAAUGGGCGAAAGCCUGAUCCAGCCAUGCCGCGUGUGUGAAGAAGGUCUUCGGAUUGUAAAGCACUUUAAGUUGGGAGGAAGGGCAGUAAAUUAAUAACUUUGCUGUUUUGACGUUUACGACAGAAUAAGCACGGCUAACUCUGUGCCAGCA
This 510-nucleotide ribosomal RNA is filed under the name uncultured bacterium. RNAcentral's name for it is "bacterial SSU rRNA". It matches the Rfam family "Bacterial small subunit ribosomal RNA", at positions 9 to 513 of the family's 1533-position model. The record is from RNAcentral.